Vespula vulgaris is the source of this 2432-nucleotide long non-coding RNA. RefSeq lists it as uncharacterized. The record is from RefSeq and is a predicted model, not a curated record. Lineage: Eukaryota; Metazoa; Arthropoda; Insecta; Hymenoptera; Vespidae. The transcript is spliced from 11 exons.
AUGUCGACGAGUGCACAUCGCAGUUCUCGUAGUACGCAUUCUUUGGAAGUAAUAGAGAAGAGUCAAUAAUGAAAUUGUGGAGUGGGGAUACUGGGCUUCCCGAGAUGACAACAAAGUCGAACGUUCGACCGAUUUUAAUAAUUAAUGGUUCAGUCUUGCUACGUAUUUCGAAGAGUACACAUCGCAGUUCUCGUAGUACGCAACCUUUGGAUAUAAAAAAGAAGAGUCAAUAAUGAAAUUGUGGAGUGGGGAUACUGGGCUCUCCGAGAUGACAACAAAGUCGAACGUUCGACCGAUUUUAAUAAUUGAUGGUUCAGUCUUGCUACGAAUUUCGACGAGUACACAUCGUAGCUCUCGUAAUACGUAUUCUCCAGAAAUAAUAACAAAGAGUUAAUGUAAGUAUGUUAUUAUCACUAGUUCUUUCAAUAUUCUAUAUGAUUUAUUUCGUUUUAGAAUCAAAUUAUGGAGGUGGGGAUACUUUCCCAGCCGUGACGCCAAUAAAAUGGACUAUGACAGCUGCUGGUUCAGUCUUGCCUUGAAUUUCGACCAGUACACAUCGCAGUUUUCGUAGUACGCAUUCUUUGGAAGUAACACAGAAGAGUCAAUAGUGAAAUUAUGGAGUGGGGAUACUGAGCUUCCCGAGAUGACAACAAAGUCGAACGUUUGACCGAUUUUAAUAGUUGAUGGUUCAGUCUUGCUACGAAUUUCGACGAGUACACAUCGUAGCUCUCGUAAUACGUAUUCUCCACAAAUAAUAACAAAGAGUUAAUAAUCAAAUUAUGGAGGUGGGGAUACUUUCCCAGCCAUGACGCUGCUGGUUCAGUCUUGCCUUGAAUUUCGACCAGUACACAUCGCAGUUCUCGUAAGUGAAAUUAUGGAGUGGGGAUACUGAGCUUCCCGAGAUGACAACAAAGUCGAACGUUUGACCGAUUUUAAUAGUUGAUGGUUCAGUCUUGCUACGAAUUUCGACGAGUACACAUCGUAGUUCUCGUAAUACGUAUUCUCCACAAAUAAUAACAAAGAGUUAAUAAUCAAAUUAUGGAGGUGGGGAUACUUUCCCAGCCAUGACGCUGCUGGUUCAGUCUUGCCUUGAAUUUCGACCAGUACACAUCGCAGUUCUCGUAGUACGCAUUCUUUGGAAGUAACACAGAAGAGUCAAUAGUGAAAUUAUGGAGUGGGGAUACUGAGCUUCCCGAGAUGACAACAAAGUCGAACGUUCGACCGAUUUUAAUAAUUAAUGGUUCAGUCUUGCUACGUAUUUCGAAGAGUACACAACGCAGUUCUCGUAUUACGCAUUCUUUGGAAAAUGAAAUAGAGGAGUGGGGAUAUUCUCCCACUCGUGACGACAAUAUAAGCGCACAGCUACUGGUUCAGUCUUGCUACGAAUUUCGACGAGUACACAACGCAGUUCUCGUAGUACGCAUUCUUUGGAAUAUGAAAUGGAGUAGUGGGGAUAUUCUCCCACUCAUAUGGACAAUAUAAGCGGACCGACAGCUACUGGUUCAGUCUUGCUUCGAAUUUCGACGAGUACGCAUCGCAGUUCUCCCACUACGCGUUCUCCGCAAAUUCAAAUUGCGAAGUGGGGAUACUCGGCAGCGAGAGAGGACAACAAAGACGGGCCUUCGACCGACUCUUACAGUUACUAGUUCAGUUGUGUUUUGGACUUCGACGAGGGAACUUGGAAAAUUUCGCGGAGACUAUUCCUGCAAGUAUUAACGAACAGUUAAUAAAAUGUAUAUCAGAAUUUCUCGUUCUUACAAUAUUCUCUACAGUUUAUUUGAUUUUACACUAAAUUGCGAAGUGGGGAUACUGGGCUGCGAGAGAGGACAACAAAGACGGGCCUUCGACCGACUCUUACAGUUACAAGUUCAGUUGUGUUUUGGACUUCGACGAGUGAACUUAGAAAUAUUCGCGGAUGCCACUCGAGCGGGUAUUAACGAAGAGUUAAUUAAAAUAUACAACAGUUUAUUUGAUUUUAGACUUAAAUUCGAAGUGGGGAUACUCAGCUUCGAGAGACGUCAACAAAGUUGUGCCUUUGACCGACUUCUACAAUCACUAGUUCAGUUGUGCUUUGGACUUCGACGAGGGAACAUAGAAAUUUUCGCAGGAUGCCUCUCGAGCGAGUAUUCACGGAGAGUUUACGCAAGUACAAUAUUAUAUUAUUCAUAUUUUCGAAAUUCUAUACUUCCUCUUUUGUUUCAGACUUCGUUUUCGCAUUUUCGGGGGACUUUGACAAUCUAUCUCCACGAAUGAACUUAGAAAUUUUUGCACUCCCGGUGGACUUUGAAAAUCUAUCACCACGAAGGGACUUAGAAAUUUUUGCAUUCCCGGUGGACUUUGACAAUCUAUCUCCACGAAGGGACUUAGAAAUUUUUGCACUCCCGGUGGACUUUGACAAUCUAUCUCCACGAAGGGACUUAGAAAUUUUUGCA